This 118-nucleotide ribosomal RNA is filed under the name Prolemur simus (greater bamboo lemur). Lineage: Eukaryota; Metazoa; Chordata; Mammalia; Primates; Lemuridae. The record is from RNAcentral.
GUCUGAGGCCCCGCCGCCCUGAAGGCUCCCGAUCUCGUCCGGUCUGGGAAGCUAAGCAGGGUCCGGCCCGGUCCGGACCUGGGUGGGAGACCGCCAGGGAAGCAUAGCAUAACAUACC